Molecule: ribosomal RNA, 249 nt
Filed under: Clostridioides difficile
Lineage: Bacteria; Bacillati; Bacillota; Clostridia; Peptostreptococcales; Peptostreptococcaceae
Description: partial 23S ribosomal RNA
Rfam family: Bacterial large subunit ribosomal RNA
Source: RNAcentral
UCUGGUCGUGGGAACUGUCAGGUGGGCAGUUUGACUGGGGCGGUCGCCUCCCAAAAGGUAACGGAGGCGCUCAAAGGUUCUCUCAGUACGGUCGGAAAUCGUACGUAGAGUGUAAAGGCAAAAGAGGGCUUGAUUGCAAGACAUACAGGUCGAGCAAGGAUGAAAAUCGGACUUAGUGAUCCGGUGGUUCUGCGUGGAAGGGCCAUCGCUCAACGGAUAAAAGCUACCCUGGGGAUAACAGGCUUAUCU